This 1381-nucleotide long non-coding RNA is filed under the name Homo sapiens (human). Its description in RNAcentral is "HSALNT0291114". The record is from RNAcentral. Lineage: Eukaryota; Metazoa; Chordata; Mammalia; Primates; Hominidae.
UGAACCCAGCUGUGAGGCUCUGUCACCUUCUCCAGCCACGCCUCCCUAAGGAGCCCUGCUCUUCUGUGCACAUCAGCGAACACCAGCACCACGGCUGGUCCCUCAGGGCAGGGCAUGGAGGCCUCGCCUGCCUCUCCUCACAGGUCUUGGCUCACUGGUAGUAAUGUAAGGAGCCACAAAGAACAGGGUGACCAAGUCAUCCUCGUGGCCUGGGACUUCUCUGGUUUCAGCGCUGGAAGUGCCUCAUACCAAGAAUGCACUCGGUCCCUGCCAACUGGAAAUGGUUGGUUACUUUACUAAGGGACAGAGUUGACCAGAGUAGGGUCUGGGCUCAAGCAGAUGGGGAAUUCAGGGAGCAUUCAGAAUUGAGGCCUCCCUCAGACUCCUCCACCGUCCAGGUGAGAGGGCACAGGUGGGAGUUUACCUGAUUACCACACGGGGCCAAGGCAGGGCUGACAGACCCAGCCAGGUCUGCACGCUUCUCUGAGUAUCCCAGCUUGAAACAGUGAAAGGAGCAGAUCUUCCACAAGAAUGAACAAGAGAUGCUCUCAUUUAAAAGAAAAGAAACAGAAAAGGUUAUCAGCUAGUAGAGAGGAAAUUCUGCUCUUAACAUAAUGUAGCUUAAAAGAAAAUGCUGCAUUUUGUCAAAGAGUCAGCGAUGAGCCUCUUAUCACAUAUUUGCUCAUAAAGGCAGAAAGGAAGAAUGCUAGCAUGCCAGUGUCCCAUCGUUAACGGGUGGAGGAGAAGAGCAGGCGGAGGAGGAGAACGAUUUCUAUGGGAUUCUCAAAGUAAAUGGGCAAUUUUCAUGCACAUGGAGAAUCUACUUCUGCAGACUGAGUUCAGGCCAGACCUGCUCUGUCAAAGCCCGACAGAGAGACCCGAGAUGGUGAGGGCGGGAGAGGGACAGCGGAGGACCGUGCUAUGGCUUGAGUGUGUUUCCCAAAGUUCCUUGUGUUGGAAACGUAAUCCCUCAUGCAACAGUGUGGAGAUGUGUGAUCUUUCAGUGAUUAAUGGAUGAAUGUGAAAUGAAUUCAUGUCAUUAUGGUGGGAGUGGGUCUACUAUAAAAACAAAGUAAGCCCCUUCUUACCCUCUCUCACGCACUCUCUCACCAUGUGAUGCCCUAUGCCACAUUAUGACACAGCAAAAAGGCCCUCACCUAGUGCAGCCCCUCAGUCUUGGACUCCCCAGCCUCCAGAACCAUGAACCGAAUAAACCUCUAUUGUGGAUAAAUUACUCAGCCUACAAUGUUCUGUUUCAGCCACAGAAAAUGGCUGAAACAUUUGGGAUUCUGGAAGGGACAGGCAGAGCGAAUGAGAGCUGUGGAAAUGAUAACCCCUCCAUGGGUCCAGACUUCACUGUCUAAAAGGUCACUCUAGACCC